This 498-nucleotide ribosomal RNA is filed under the name uncultured bacterium. Its description in RNAcentral is "partial 16S ribosomal RNA". It matches the Rfam family "Bacterial small subunit ribosomal RNA", at positions 30 to 523 of the family's 1533-position model. The record is from RNAcentral.
AUUGAACGCUGGCGGCAUGCCUUACACAUGCAAGUCGAACGGUAACAGGUCUUCGGAUGCUGACGAGUGGCGGACGGGUGAGUAAUACAUCGGAACGUGCCUAGUAGUGGGGGAUAACUACUCGAAAGAGUGGCUAAUACCGCAUGAGAUCUACGGAUGAAAGCAGGGGAUCGCAAGACCUUGUGCUACUAGAGCGGCCGAUGGCAGAUUAGGUAGUUGGUGGGAUAAAAGCUUACCAAGCCGACGAUCUGUAGCUGGUCUGAGAGGACGAUCAGCCACACUGGGACUGAGACACGGCCCAGACUCCUACGGGAGGCAGCAGUGGUGAAUUUUGGACAAUGGGCGAAAGCCUGAUCCAGCAAUGCCGCGUGCAGGAUGAAGGCCUUCGGGUUGUAAACUGCUUUUGUACGGAACGAAAAGCCCCGGGUUAAUACCCUGGGGUCAUGACGGUACCGUAAGAAUAAGCACCGGCUAACUACGUGCCAGCAGCCGCGGUAA